CUACGGGUCGCAGCAGUGGGGAAUAUUGGACAAUGGGGGAAACCCUGAUCCAGCAAUGCCGCGUGUGUGAAGAAGGCCUGCGGGUUGUAAAGCACUUUCGGUUGGGAGGACUGCUUCUAGCACUAAUAUUGUUGGAAGUUGACGUUACCUUCAGAAGAAGCACCGGCUAACUCCGUGCCAGCAGCCGCGGUACUACGGAGGGUGCAAGCGUUAAUCGGAAUUACUGGGCGUAAAGCGCGCGUAGGCGGCUAGAUCAGUCGGGUGUGAAAGCCCCGGGCUUAACCUGGGAACUGCAUCCGAUACUGUCUAGCUGGAGUACAGGAGAGGAGAGUGGAGUUCCACAUGUAGCGGUGAAAUGCGUAGAUAUGUGGAGGAACACCAAUGGCGAAGGCAGCUCUCUGGCCUGAUACUGACGCUGAGGUGCGAAAGCGUGGGGAGCAAACAGGAUUAGAUACCCGCGUAGUC
Molecule: ribosomal RNA, 465 nt
Filed under: uncultured bacterium
Lineage: Bacteria
Description: partial 16S ribosomal RNA
Rfam family: Bacterial small subunit ribosomal RNA
Source: RNAcentral